This 400-nucleotide ribosomal RNA is filed under the name Bacillus anthracis (anthrax bacterium). RNAcentral's name for it is "bacterial SSU rRNA". It matches the Rfam family "Bacterial small subunit ribosomal RNA", at positions 39 to 421 of the family's 1533-position model. Lineage: Bacteria; Bacillati; Bacillota; Bacilli; Caryophanales; Bacillaceae. The record is from RNAcentral.
GGGGCAGUGCGGCGUGCCUAUACUGCUAGUCGAGCGAAUGGAUUAAGAGCUUGCUCUUAUGAAGUUAGCGGCGGACGGGUGAGUAACACGUGGGUAACCUGCCCAUAAGACUGGGAUAACUCCGGGAAACCGGGGCUAAUACCGGAUAACAUUUUGAACCGCAUGGUUCGAAAUUGAAAGGCGGCUUCGGCUGUCACUUAUGGAUGGACCCGCGUCGCAUUAGCUAGUUGGUGAGGUAACGGCUCACCAAGGCAACGAUGCGUAGCCGACCUGAGAGGGUGAUCGGCCACACUGGGACUGAGACACGGCCCAGACUCCUACGGGAGGCAGCAGUAGGGAAUCUUCCGCAAUGGACGAAAGUCUGACGGAGCAACGCCGCGUGAGUGAUGAAGGCUUUCGG